GUUUCUUGGAACAGGACGUCACAGAGGGUGAGAAUCCCGUGAGGUGGUGCAUGCUUCUCUUGUAGGUUGUUCUCGACGAGUCGAGUUGUUUGGGAAUGCAGCUCUAAGUGGGUGGUAAAUUCCAUCUAAAGCUAAAUAUUGGCGAGAGACCGAUAGCGAACAAGUACAGUGAUGGAAAGAUGAAAAGAACUUUGAAAAGAGAGUGAAAAAGUACGUGAAAUUGUUGAAAGGGAAGGGCAUUAGAUUAGACUUGGCGCUUCAGGCACAUCCUCCUCUUGUAGGGGGUGCACUCCUGUUGUGCUGGGCCAGCAUCGAUUUGUGCGGUGGGAUAAAACCAGUGGGAUGUAGCUGCUCUGCAGUAUUAUAACCACUGGGCAUGCCACCAGCGUAGAUCGAGGACUGC
RNAcentral lists this ribosomal RNA (403 nucleotides) under Starmera sp. Its description in RNAcentral is "LSU rRNA". It matches the Rfam family "Eukaryotic large subunit ribosomal RNA", at positions 185 to 593 of the family's 3401-position model. The record is from RNAcentral. Lineage: Eukaryota; Fungi; Ascomycota; Saccharomycetes; Phaffomycetales; Phaffomycetaceae.